RNAcentral lists this transfer RNA (64 nucleotides) under Gari togata. RNAcentral describes it as "tRNA-Met". The record is from RNAcentral. Lineage: Eukaryota; Metazoa; Mollusca; Bivalvia; Cardiida; Psammobiidae.
GCCAGGGUAAACUAUGGAGGUUGUUGGGUUCAUACCCCAAAUGAAGAAGUGAUUCUCCUUGGCG